RNAcentral lists this ribosomal RNA (596 nucleotides) under uncultured Spiroplasma sp. RNAcentral describes it as "bacterial SSU rRNA". It matches the Rfam family "Bacterial small subunit ribosomal RNA", at positions 137 to 721 of the family's 1533-position model. The record is from RNAcentral. Lineage: Bacteria; Bacillati; Mycoplasmatota; Mollicutes; Entomoplasmatales; Spiroplasmataceae.
UGGGGAAUAACUGUUGGAAACGACAGCUAAUACCGCAUAAUAUUGCUGGAUAAUUUCCAGUAAUGAAAGGAGCUUUCAAGCUCCGCUGAUUGAUGAGGAUGCGGCGCAUUAGCUAGUUGGUAGGGUAAUGGCCUACCAAGGCAAUGAUGCGUAGCCGAUCUGAGAGGAUGAACGGCCACAUUGGGACUGAGACACGGCCCAAACUUCUACGGAAGGCAGCAGUAGGGAAUUUUUCACAAUGGGCGAAAGCCUGAUGGAGCAAUGCCGCGUGACUGAUGAAGGUCUUCGGAUUGUAAAGGUCUGUUGUAAGGGAAGAAAUGGUAAAACAGGAAAUGGUUUUAUCUAUGACGGUACCUUACCAGAAAGCCACGGCUAACUAUGUGCCAGCAGCCGCGGUAAUACAUAGGUGGCAAGCGUUAUCCAGAUUUAUUGGGCGUAAAGGGUGCGUAGACGGUUUUGCAAGUCUGAGGUUAAAUUUAGGAGCUCAAUUCCUAAUCGCCUUGGAAACUACAAGACUAGAGUAUAGGANAGGUUAGUGGAAUUCCAUGUGUAGCGGUGGAAUGUGUAGAUAUAUGGAGGAACACCAGUGGCGAAGG